This is a non-coding RNA of Pseudomonas putida, 87 nucleotides long. The record is from Rfam. NCBI's taxonomy places the organism in Bacteria, Pseudomonadati, Pseudomonadota, Gammaproteobacteria, Pseudomonadales, Pseudomonadaceae.
AUUUAUGGAGGCUGUACGCAGGAGGCCUUCGGGCCUGCCGGGUAUGGUCCUUCCCGGUUUUCCACCCUGUGUCCAGCCGCCACCUUC